CCUACGGGAGGCAGCAGUGGGGAAUAUUGCACAAUGGGCGCAAGCCUGAUGCAGCCAUGCCGCGUGUAUGAAGAAGGCCUUCGGGUUGUAAAGUACUUUCAGCGGGGAGGAAGGCGAUAAGGUUAAUAACCUUGUCGAUUGACGUUACCCGCAGAAGAAGCACCGGCUAACUCCGUGCCAGCAGCCGCGGUAAU
Molecule: ribosomal RNA, 194 nt
Filed under: uncultured bacterium
Lineage: Bacteria
Also listed under: 3 other names
Description: partial 16S ribosomal RNA
Rfam family: Bacterial small subunit ribosomal RNA
Source: RNAcentral